AGAAUCAGGUCUGGUGAUUGGUUGGAACUCAACUCUGCAGCUCUCCAGAACCAGGGUUUAACGUACCGCAUGGUCUCUACAAUCAUCUUUGAUUCCGUUGAUUUCAGUUCAGCUAGUAGUUCUCUUUAUCCACAGUUACCAGUCAGCUAGUAGUUCUCUUUAUCCACAGUUACCAGUCAGCUAGUAGUUUUCUUUAUCCACAGUUACCAGUCAGCUAGUAGUUUUCUUUAUCCACAGUUACCAGUCAGCUAGUAGUUUUCUUUAUCCACAGUUACCAGUCAGCUAGUCUCUUUAUCCACAGAUACCAGUCAGCUAGUCUCUUUAUCCCCAGUUACCAGUCAGCUAGUAGUUCUCUUUAGCCCCAGUUACCAGUCAGCUAGUCCCUUUAUCCCCAGUUACCAGUCAGCUAGUCUCUUUAGCCCCAGUUACCAGUCAGCUAGUCUCUUUAUCCCCAGUUACCAGUCAGCUAGUAGUUCUCUUUAUCCACAGUUACCGGUCAGCUAGUCUCUUUAGCCCCAGUUACCAGUCAGCUAGUCUCUUUAUCCACAGUUACCAGUCAGCUAGUCUCUUUAGCCCCAGUUACCAGUCAGCUAUUCUCUUUAGCCCCAGUUACCAGUCAGCUAGUCUCUUUAGCCCCAGUUACCAGUCAGCUAGUAGUUAUCUUUAUCCACA
Molecule: long non-coding RNA, 672 nt
Organism: Oncorhynchus keta (chum salmon)
Lineage: Eukaryota; Metazoa; Chordata; Actinopteri; Salmoniformes; Salmonidae
Exons: 3
Source: RefSeq, a predicted model, not a curated record